GGGUUGUGAGGUUAAGCGACUAAGCGUACACGGUGGAUGCCCUGGCAGUCAGAGGCGAUGAAGGACGUGCUAAUCUGCGAUAAGCGUCGGUAAGGUGAUAUGAACCGUUAUAACCGGCGAUUUCCGAAUGGGGAAACCCAGUGUGAUUCGUCACACUAUCAUUAACUGAAUCCAUAGGUUAAUGAGGCGAACCGGGGGAACUGAAACAUCUAAGUACCCCGAGGAAAAGAAAUCAACCGAGAUUCCCCCAGUAGCGGCGAGCGAACGGGGAGCAGCCCAGAGCCUGAAUCAGUGUGUGUGUUAGUGGAAGCGUCUGGAAAGGCGCGCGAUACAGGGUGACAGCCCCGUACACAAAAAUGCACAUGCUGUGAGCUCGAUGAGUAGGGCGGGACACGUGGUAUCCUGUCUGAAUAUGGGGGGACCAUCCUCCAAGGCUAAAUACUCCUGACUGACCGAUAGUGAACCAGUACCGUGAGGGAAAGGCGAAAAGAACCCCGGCGAGGGGAGUGAAAAAGAACCUGAAACCGUGUACGUACAAGCAGUGGGAGCACGCUUAGGCGUGUGACUGCGUACCUUUUGUAUAAUGGGUCAGCGACUUAUAUUCUGUAGCAAGGUUAACCGAAUAGGGGAGCCGAAGGGAAACCGAGUCUUAACUGGGCGUUAAGUUGCAGGGUAUAGACCCGAAACCCGGUGAUCUAGCCAUGGGCAGGUUGAAGGUUGGGUAACACUAACUGGAGGACCGAACCGACUAAUGUUGAAAAAUUAGCGGAUGACUUGUGGCUGGGGGUGAAAGGCCAAUCAAACCGGGAGAUAGCUGGUUCUCCCCGAAAGCUAUUUAGGUAGCGCCUCGUGAAUUCAUCUCCGGGGGUAGAGCACUGUUUCGGCAAGGGGGUCAUCCCGACUUACCAACCCGAUGCAAACUGCGAAUACCGGAGAAUGUUAUCACGGGAGACACACGGCGGGUGCUAACGUCCGUCGUGAAGAGGGAAACAACCCAGACCGCCAGCUAAGGUCCCAAAGUCAUGGUUAAGUGGGAAACGAUGUGGGAAGGCCCAGACAGCCAGGAUGUUGGCUUAGAAGCAGCCAUCAUUUAAAGAAAGCGUAAUAGCUCACUGGUCGAGUCGGCCUGCGCGGAAGAUGUAACGGGGCUAAACCAUGCACCGAAGCUGCGGCAGCGACACUAUGUGUUGUUGGGUAGGGGAGCGUUCUGUAAGCCUGCGAAGGUGUGCUGUGAGGCAUGCUGGAGGUAUCAGAAGUGCGAAUGCUGACAUAAGUAACGAUAAAGCGGGUGAAAAGCCCGCUCGCCGGAAGACCAAGGGUUCCUGUCCAACGUUAAUCGGGGCAGGGUGAGUCGACCCCUAAGGCGAGGCCGAAAGGCGUAGUCGAUGGGAAACAGGUUAAUAUUCCUGUACUUGGUGUUACUGCGAAGGGGGGACGGAGAAGGCUAUGUUGGCCGGGCGACGGUUGUCCCGGUUUAAGCGUGUAGGCUGGUUUUCCAGGCAAAUCCGGAAAAUCAAGGCUGAGGCGUGAUGACGAGGCACUACGGUGCUGAAGCAACAAAUGCCCUGCUUCCAGGAAAAGCCUCUAAGCAUCAGGUAACAUCAAAUCGUACCCCAAACCGACACAGGUGGUCAGGUAGAGAAUACCAAGGCGCUUGAGAGAACUCGGGUGAAGGAACUAGGCAAAAUGGUGCCGUAACUUCGGGAGAAGGCACGCUGAUAUGUAGGUGAAGUCCCUCGCGGAUGGAGCUGAAAUCAGUCGAAGAUACCAGCUGGCUGCAACUGUUUAUUAAAAACACAGCACUGUGCAAACACGAAAGUGGACGUAUACGGUGUGACGCCUGCCCGGUGCCGGAAGGUUAAUUGAUGGGGUUAGCGCAAGCGAAGCUCUUGAUCGAAGCCCCGGUAAACGGCGGCCGUAACUAUAACGGUCCUAAGGUAGCGAAAUUCCUUGUCGGGUAAGUUCCGACCUGCACGAAUGGCGUAAUGAUGGCCAGGCUGUCUCCACCCGAGACUCAGUGAAAUUGAACUCGCUGUGAAGAUGCAGUGUACCCGCGGCAAGACGGAAAGACCCCGUGAACCUUUACUAUAGCUUGACACUGAACAUUGAGCCUUGAUGUGUAGGAUAGGUGGGAGGCUUUGAAGUGUGGACGCCAGUCUGCAUGGAGCCGACCUUGAAAUACCACCCUUUAAUGUUUGAUGUUCUAACGU
This 2210-nucleotide ribosomal RNA is filed under the name Escherichia coli. Its description in RNAcentral is "partial 23S ribosomal RNA". It matches the Rfam family "Bacterial large subunit ribosomal RNA", at positions 1 to 2228 of the family's 2925-position model. The record is from RNAcentral. Lineage: Bacteria; Pseudomonadati; Pseudomonadota; Gammaproteobacteria; Enterobacterales; Enterobacteriaceae.